GUGGAUAGGGGUGAAAGGCCAAACAAAUCUGGAGAUAGCUGGUUCUCCCCGAAAACUAUUGAGGUAGUGCCUCGUGUGUCGCUCCAGGGGGUAGAGCACUGUUUUGGCUAGGGGGACAUGGAGUCUUACCAAACCAAGGCAAACUCCGAAUACCUGGAAGCGUGAGCACGGGAGACAGAGCACCGGGUGCUAACGUCCGGACUCAAAAGGGAAACAACCCAGACCGCCGGCUAAGGUCCCAAAUAACAGCUAAGUGGAAAACGAAGUGGAAAGGCCGUGACAACCAGGAAGUUGGCUUAGAAGCAGCCAUCCUUCAAAGAAAGCGUAAUAGCUCACUGGUCGAGUCCUUCUGCGCGGAAGAUGUAACGGGGCUAAGCUGUUAACCGAAGCCGCGGAUGCACUGGUUAUCCAGUGCGUGGUAGGGGAGCGUUCUGUAAGUCUGCGAAGGCGGUUCGAGAGGACUGCUGGAGAUAUCAGAAGUGCGAAUGCUGACAUGAGUAACGUUAAAGCAGGUGAAAAGCCUGCUCGCCGUAAGCCCAAGGAUUCCUGCUCUACGUUCAUCGGAGCAGGGUGAGUCGGCUCCUAAGGUCAGGCCGAAAGGCGUAGCCGAUGGGAAUCAGGUUAAUAUUCCUGAACCUGCGUCAGAUGCGAUGGGGGGACGGAGCAUGGAAGAUCAUCCGGGUGUUGGAAGUCCCGGUUGUUUAGCGUAGGAGGUCUGCAGGCAAAUCCGCAGACGCAUCUCCAAGGCAAAGACACGUGCCGCCACGGCGGCGAAGUGAUCGGAAGUGCUUCCAAGAAAAGCCUCUAAGCCCCAGUCUGACGCGGACCGUACCGCAAACCGACACUGGUGGGCGAGCUGAAUAUGCUCAGGCGCUUGAGAGAACUCGGGAGAAGGAACUCGGCAAAUUGACACCGUAACUUCGGAAGAAGGUGUGCCGUAGUACCGUGAGAGGAGAGACACCUUGAGCGGGAAACGGUCUCAGAGAAUAGGUGGCUGCGACUGUUUAUUAAAAACACAGCACUCUGCAAAGUCGAAAGACGACGUAUAGGGUGUGAUGCCUGCCCGGUGCUGGAAGAUUAAUUGAUGGGGUGAGAGCCCUUGAUCGAAGUCCCAGUAAACGGCGGCCGUAACUAUAACGGUCCUAAGGUAGCGAAAUUCCUUGUCGGGUAAGUUCCGACCUGCACGA
Molecule: ribosomal RNA, 1187 nt
Filed under: human gut metagenome
Description: bacterial LSU rRNA
Rfam family: Bacterial large subunit ribosomal RNA
Source: RNAcentral